GACGGAGGGUGCAAGCGUUAUCCGGAUUCACUGGGUUUAAAGGGUACGUAGGCGGUCGAGUAAGUCAAUGGUGAAAUCUAGCAGCUUAACUGUUAACGUGCCAUUGAUACUGCUUGACUUGAGUAUAGUCGAGGUGGGCGGAAUUCUACAUGUAGCGGUGAAAUGCAUAGAUAUGUAGAGGAACACCAAUAGCGAAGGCAGCUCACUAGGCUAUUACUGACGCUGAGGUACGAAAGCGUGGGGAGCAAACAGG
This 253-nucleotide ribosomal RNA is filed under the name uncultured bacterium. Its description in RNAcentral is "partial 16S ribosomal RNA". It matches the Rfam family "Bacterial small subunit ribosomal RNA", at positions 524 to 776 of the family's 1533-position model. The record is from RNAcentral.